GAUGAACGCUGGCGGCGUGCCUAACACAUUCAAGUCGAACGGUGACGGGGGCUUCGGUCCCCUGAUCAGUGGCGGACGGGUGAGUAACGCGUGAGCAACCUGCCUCUGCGUGGGGGAUAACGAUUGGAAACGAUCGCUAAUACCGCAUAACGUAUUCCCUUGGCAUCUUGGGAAUACCAAAGAUUUAUUGCGCAGAGAUGGGCUCGCGUCUGAUUAGAUAGUUGUGGGGUAACGGCCUACCAAGUCGACGAUCAGUAGCCGGACUGAGAGGUUGAACGGCCACAUUGGGACUGAGACACGGCCCAGACUCCUACGGGAGGCAGCAGUGGGGGAUAUUGCACAAUGGAGGAAACUCUGAUGCAGCAACGCCGCGUGAGGGAAGAAGGUUUUCGGAUUGUAAACCUCUGUUUUUAGUGAAGAAUAAAUGACGGUAGCUAAAGAGGAAGCCACGGCUAACUACGUG
Molecule: ribosomal RNA, 463 nt
Filed under: uncultured bacterium
Lineage: Bacteria
Description: bacterial SSU rRNA
Rfam family: Bacterial small subunit ribosomal RNA
Source: RNAcentral